GUGCUUAGGUCAGAAGAGCCCUCAUGAAUGGGAUCCGGGCCCUUAUAAGGAGGCCCCAGAGCACCGCCCCCCCCAGCCUUCUGCCCCGUGAGCAGACGCCAUCCGUGAACCAGGGAGGGGGCUCCCACCAGACAUCCCACCUGCUGGUGCCUUGAUCUUGGACUUCCUGCCUCCAGAACUGUGAGAAAUAAGUGUCCGUUGUUCCUGAGUCCCUGGGGCUGUGGUGUUUGGUCACAGCAGUGGCGCUGACGGAGUGGAGGCGGAGAAAGCAGCCUUUAAAUAUAGCUCGGCACCAUCUGAUGCUUCAGGACUGAUGGAAGGAAGCCAGUGGCUGUCCUGACCCAGCCAGCCGCCCCCCAUCAAGCGAGGUUCAGACAUCACCCCCCACCCCCCGGCCCUCCUUGUCUUGCCGCCCCUUCCCUCCCGGGCUCAGAUGUUUCUUCGGCUUUCUGUAAAUGCCCCUCAGCACUGCAAACCCACCCCCCAAGGGGUGCAGCGUGUGACACUGACAAGCCAGCAUUUAGCGUCAGGCAGAAGGAGGCCAGCCAGCUGGGGGAAAGCCAAGUCUGACUUUAUCCAAGCACCUCUCCCUGGCCCACACUGGGCCCUAGAAAUGGCCAAUUGUGGGGCGCCCGGGUGGCUCAGCCGGCUGAGCGUCCGACUUCGGCUCAGGUCAUGAUCUCGAGGUUCUGGGA
Suricata suricatta (meerkat) is the source of this 695-nucleotide long non-coding RNA. RefSeq lists it as uncharacterized. NCBI's taxonomy places the organism in Eukaryota, Metazoa, Chordata, Mammalia, Carnivora, Herpestidae. The record is from RefSeq and is a predicted model, not a curated record. The transcript has 3 exons.